Molecule: non-coding RNA, 83 nt
Filed under: Nostoc punctiforme PCC 73102
Lineage: Bacteria; Bacillati; Cyanobacteriota; Cyanophyceae; Nostocales; Nostocaceae
Description: Photosynthesis regulatory RNA1
Rfam family: Photosynthesis regulatory RNA1
About the family: Formerly known as Syr1 discovered in Synechocystis sp PCC 6803, is a regulatory factor controlling photosynthetic functions. PsrR1 interacts with the ribosome binding regions of several photosynthesis-related mRNAs.
Source: Rfam by way of RNAcentral
AAGAUUUUCAAUUUCGGUAUCGCUGUAUCUCAUCGUCAUUCGUACCUCUCUCUCUUACCCCGGUUAGUUUCGCCGGGGUUUUU